AACGAACGCUGGCGGCAGGCCUAACACAUGCAAGUCGAACGCCCUAGCGAUAGGGAGUGGCAGACGGGUGAGUAACACGUGGGAACCUUCCCUAUAGUACGGAAUAGCCCAGGGAAACUUGGAGUAAUACCGUAUACGCCCGAGAGGGGAAAGAUUUAUCGUUAUAGGAGGGGCCCGCGUCGGAUUAGCUAGUUGGUGAGGUAACGGCUCACCAAGGCAACGAUCCGUAGCUGGUUUGAGGGAAUGACCAGCCACACUGGGACUGAGACACGGCCCAGACUCCUACGGGAGGCAGCAGUGGGGAAUCUUGGACAAUGGGCGCAAGCCUGAUCCAGCCAUGCCGCGUGAGUGAUGAAGGCCCUAGGGUUGUAAAGCUCUUUUGUCGGGGACGAUAAUGACGGUACCCGAAGAAUAAGCUCCGGCUAACCUCGUGCCAGCAGCCGCCGCAG
This 449-nucleotide ribosomal RNA is filed under the name uncultured bacterium. Its description in RNAcentral is "partial 16S ribosomal RNA". It matches the Rfam family "Bacterial small subunit ribosomal RNA", at positions 29 to 523 of the family's 1533-position model. The record is from RNAcentral.